GGACCCAUAGCUUAAUGGUUAAAGCAGCGAACUCAUAAUUCGUUGAGUCCCAGUUCAAAUCUGGGUGGGUCCACCA
RNAcentral lists this transfer RNA (76 nucleotides) under Vibrio sp. F13. RNAcentral describes it as "tRNA-Met". It matches the Rfam family "tRNA". Rfam says of the family: Transfer RNA (tRNA) molecules are approximately 80 nucleotides in length. Their secondary structure includes four short double-helical elements and three loops (D, anti-codon, and T loops). The record is from RNAcentral. RNAcentral also lists the same sequence under 1 other name. Lineage: Bacteria; Pseudomonadati; Pseudomonadota; Gammaproteobacteria; Vibrionales; Vibrionaceae.